UGGCGAACGGGUGAGUAACACGUGAGCAACCUGCCCUUGGCUCUGGGAUAACUCCGGGAAACCGGGGCUAAUACCGGAUACGACCUCCGCAGGCACCUGUGGUGGUGGAAAGAACUUCGGCCAAGGAUGGGCUCGCGGCCUAUCAGCUUGUUGGUGGGGUAAUGGCCCACCAAGGCGACGACGGGUAGCCGGCCUGAGAGGGCGAUCGGCCACACUGGGACUGAGACACGGCCCAGACUCCUACGGGAGGCAGCAGUGGGGAAUAUUGCGCAAUGGGCGAAAGCCUGACGCAGCAACGCCGCGUGGGGGAUGAAGGCCUUCGGGUUGUAAACCUCUUUCAGCAGGGAAGAAGCGAAAGUGACGGUACCUGCAGAAGAAGCACCGGCUAACUACGUGCCAGCAGCCGCGGUAAUACGUAGGGUGCAAGCGUUGUCCGGAAUUAUUGGGCGUAAAGAGCUCGUAGGUGGUUUGUCGCGUCUGCUGUGAAAAUUCGGGGCUCAACCCCGGACUGGCAGUGGGUAC
RNAcentral lists this ribosomal RNA (522 nucleotides) under uncultured Actinomycetales bacterium. RNAcentral's name for it is "bacterial SSU rRNA". It matches the Rfam family "Bacterial small subunit ribosomal RNA", at positions 96 to 633 of the family's 1533-position model. Lineage: Bacteria; Bacillati; Actinomycetota; Actinomycetes; Actinomycetales. The record is from RNAcentral.